RNAcentral lists this small nuclear RNA (331 nucleotides) under Myotis davidii. RNAcentral describes it as "7SK RNA". It matches the Rfam family "7SK RNA". Rfam says of the family: 7SK was discovered as an abundant small nuclear RNA in the mid-70s but a possible function has only recently been suggested. Two independent studies have found that 7SK RNA binds the CDK9/cyclin T complex (known as elongation factor P-TEFb). The record is from Rfam by way of RNAcentral. Lineage: Eukaryota; Metazoa; Chordata; Mammalia; Chiroptera; Vespertilionidae.
AGAUGUGAGGGCGAUCUGACUGCGACAUCUGUCACCCCAUUGAUCGCCAGGGUUGAUUUGGCUGAUCUGGCUGGCUAGGCGGGUGUCCCCCUCCUCCCUCACCAAUCCAUGUGCGUCCCUCCCGAAGCUGUGCGCUCAGUCGAAUAGGACGACCUUCCUCCCCUCCCCCCCAGGAGAGGACCGGUCUUCGGUCAAGGGUAUACAAGUAGCUGCGCUCCCCUGCUAGAACCUCCAAACAAAUAAAGAACACAAUGGAAGGAAUACACAGCAGAUUAGGGGAAGCUGAGUAUCGAAUCAGUGAAUUAGAAGACAGUUGAAAAUAUCACUCUAU